Molecule: long non-coding RNA, 779 nt
Organism: Mustela erminea (ermine)
Lineage: Eukaryota; Metazoa; Chordata; Mammalia; Carnivora; Mustelidae
Exons: 3
Source: RefSeq, a predicted model, not a curated record
GGAUUCUGGAAUCAUGACCUGAGCUGAAGGCUGACGCUCAACAGACUGAGCCAUACAGGCGUCCUGUACUCAGUUCAUAUUCAUCACACACCAACUCAGUGGCUGAGAAUCUGCUUGUGGGAGAACUGUCUCCAUUACCAGCUGGCUUGACUCCCCUUUUAAUGGAUAUUUUUGCUUAUAUAACUAAUUCGUGGACUGAGUUAUGUGGGAUACACAGUCUGCAGCAAUGUGAUGACAUUUUGCAGAAUCUGGAAGCAAGACAGCAAUCUUCCUGUAGUACUGGGCUGAGUGGCGCUGGAGCUGGGAUGGGUAUGUGUGGGAUGCUGGGCUGGAGGUCUGGUGGGAAGGACCCACUGCUGAGCAGAGAGGAUUUUAUUCUUACUCUAUAGGGUUUCACCAUGUAGCCUUUAUUUUGUUUGAUUAUUUGAAAUGAAGUCCUAUUACCCUUGUGUUUUCUUUGGGAGGCACUUGAGGAGGUUUAGUUGCUCAGGUUAUGGAAAUCCAGAGAGGAUAAACUAGUAGGAGAAAUAAAAGGUAACAUGAUAUCAAUCCAGCUGUUACUAGAAUCUAGUGUUUGAACUGAGGGAGCGGUCCUGGCAGCCGGGACCAGAACUAGCAUGAGGAGUGUAUGGGCACCAAACAUGCUCUAAGAAAUGUGUGCCAUCAUCCCAGAGACACGGAUCAUAGAUGCAACUGAAUAGGAACAAUGUCUUUUAUGGUCACAUACAUCUGAGACAUGCCACCACCUUAUACACUUCUUUGGUCACAACCUUGAUCUU